Molecule: non-coding RNA, 28 nt
Filed under: Mus musculus (house mouse)
Lineage: Eukaryota; Metazoa; Chordata; Mammalia; Rodentia; Muridae
Source: RNAcentral
UCCUUUUGCAGUCCUGGAAUGGAAGCCA